This is a long non-coding RNA of Acanthopagrus latus (yellowfin seabream), 1410 nucleotides long. RefSeq lists it as uncharacterized. The record is from RefSeq and is a predicted model, not a curated record. Lineage: Eukaryota; Metazoa; Chordata; Actinopteri; Spariformes; Sparidae. The transcript is spliced from 3 exons.
AUAAUAACAGUGUGUGUGUGUGUGUGUGUGUGUGUGUGUGUGUGUGUGUGUGGGAGAUGGGGGGGUUCACAAGGUGGAGACAGCCAGCUGUGCCCUCAGAGGUGGGCCACAGUGAGUCGAUCCAGUUCAGGAUGUCGUCUGAGACUCGAGAGGCGUUCAGGAGUUCAUCGCUUCGUCGUUGAGGCGCCAAACGGCUUCACUCACUCUUGUAUUUAUUCUCAUUCUCUCACCAAACAGGAAGCAUGCAUGAAGCAGCAGGAAGUGACAGAAGCGACUCCUGGAGGAGGAGACGGGCUUCAUCAUCGCAGGUCAGAGCAUCAGAACAUCAGAACAUCAGAAGAUCGGAACGCUCCCUGAAAACUCAGCCUCACUGUAAAUACACACUUUAACAUCCUCCAACAACACAAAGCAGCUGUUGCAUCAUGUGACACAGACAUUAUGUGGAGCCGGUCAAACAAAACAAGAAGACAUCUUUAUAAACACAUCUUGAUAUAAUAAUCUGUGUGGAAAGUGACUUCUGGUGUUUAUUCCUCCAGGAGCUCGGGUUCUGUCCACAGAACGACGUAUUGAUUGUCUGAUAUUUGCAUUUAAAAGGCAUCAACACCACGAACACGGCAGAGAGGAGAAGAUCAGUGUGUUCAUGUGCUGUAAACAUGUUUCUGACUCUGUAACGUAGACUCUCUUCUGGAGGCUGAGUGGCCGUCGGAGGAGCUGCAGUUCUGGGUAGUUCAGCUUCAUGUCUCAGCCCGGACUGUCCCAUCCCAGCCACCGUACCUCCGCCUGCAGACGCUGCUGUGUGCCUUGGCUGUCAGUCAACCGGCUUCAAACACUGGCAGUGUCGUCACACGGCCGGGUUAGAUUCCUCACAGGCUGUCAGACGGCCUCUUGAGAAACACAAAAUGUAAACUCUGAUAACAGACUGUCAGUAUUUUAAUAGACGUGCUCCGACAUGCUUGACAGGUCCGCGGAGAUAAACGCCUUCCCGACUCUGCGCCGCCAUCUGUCAGAGACGGCAGCUUCAGUGAUCCACAGGAGGCAGUCGUCUCUGAGGUCCUCGUGCUAAUCUCUCCUUUAAAAACUCUUCACGCCUUUCAGUCUGACGCUCGGUGACGUUAUCAGUGCAGGAAUCAUCUGUCGGCGUCAAACUCUCAGCGAUCCGUCCCGACGCUUGGCUGACAUGUGAUGCUGUGUUACCAUGACAACCCCGGGGGUCAGAUCGGGCCCACGUCUCGCCGUCCUCGCUCCCAUCAAAACAAAACAAAUAAUAAUACAAUCAAUGAGGUCAGAGUCUGCAGACACGCUCGCUCAGAGCCACGAGGCCGUAACUCGAGCUAACAUGUAGGACGACAUCAUCUUCAGAUCAGAGCUCAGUGGAUCAGAAACACAAACUUAUAACUGAGCAACACACAC